UCCAUUCUUACCUCUCACGACCCCAGAAUACCACAGCUUAAACCCAUCUACAUUCCUCGCCUUCGACACUUUGCACCUAGUCUCCUGGACACACGCUAUGUUAACCCUCUCUUCUGAAGAACCUGCCAACUCCAUGGACUUACCCGUCAGAGUGCCUAUGUUCCAUGACCCAAUCCUUAAUCUAUGGGCGUCCGCUACCCUCUUCCCACCCUUACCUCCCGCCCUACCCGC
This 231-nucleotide long non-coding RNA is filed under the name Nicotiana benthamiana. Its description in RNAcentral is "long non-coding RNA (NBEN_LNC033903)". Lineage: Eukaryota; Viridiplantae; Streptophyta; Magnoliopsida; Solanales; Solanaceae. The record is from RNAcentral.